This 1275-nucleotide ribosomal RNA is filed under the name Triticum aestivum (bread wheat). Its description in RNAcentral is "partial small subunit ribosomal RNA". Lineage: Eukaryota; Viridiplantae; Streptophyta; Magnoliopsida; Poales; Poaceae. The record is from RNAcentral.
AUGGCAACCGAGGCCGGCCGACCCGCCUCGCUCCUCACUGCCGUCGAAGGCUACGUCGGCGACCGGUCCAACGAGAGGACCGCCACAGGCAUCACGAGGAAGGGCCUGAGCAUCAAGGUGUCCCUUCUCGCCAACCGCCCGCCACAACCGUCCAAGCUGUGGGUGCACUGCCCGGAGGCCGUGCACGUCGACACCCCCCGCGUCCUCUGCACCGCCGGCGACCUGAUCCUCUUCCGGGUCGACGUCUCCCCCGAUUGUGUCCCAGACAGCCGUUUCUCGAUGCGGCAGGAUUGCGACUACUUCCUCUACCGCGCUGACCCCAAUUCGCCAGUGCUCACGCUCCUCGACGACAUGCGCACCAGAGGUUUCGAAGACAAUGAGAUUGGUAUUCUUCCCCGUGGUCUCCACCACUACACCAUCGCCGCGCUGCUUCCUGGUCCUCUCAGCUUCAAAGAGUUCGUGCUCCAUUUGUUCCACUCCGAGACAUCCAGCUGGAGCUCCAUGGUGCUGCCCGUGGCUGAGCCACAGGUGGAGUUCGAUUGCUUCAUCCCCACCAACACGGAUCUCUAUUACCAUUAUACUUCCAACGUCAUCACAAUCGGCGGUGAGCACGGCACCAUGGGCUGGGUCGAUCUCUGGCGAGGCAUCCUGUUGUGUGAUGUGCUGCGUGAGAAGCCAACUCUCAGGGGAAUACCGCUGCCGCUGCCGAUGGAACAUAUCACCGCCGGCAAACAUUUAGGCCGUGCAAUGGACUGCCGAGGCAUUGCCGUCGUCAAUGGCCGUCUCAAGCUUGUCCAUCUGGACAUCAACGCCAGUUACGACAUAAACAUCAUUGACCCGGAGACAGAGCACCCAACUAUGCUGGUGGAUGACUGGGCGAUCUCCUCAUGGAGCAAUAGCACGCUGGAGAAUUCUUACGAAGCUUGGGGCGAGCCUGAAUGCACGGUCCAAGCUGAUGAGGUUGCAAUCAAAACUGAUAUGAUUUCACAACCGACUGGAAUGCUGCUGUUGCCAUCAGAGGAGGGUGUUGAGAACCCAGAACAAGAGGCUGCCUACUUCCAGCGCCUUGUGAUGUCUGACCCGUCUCCGAGCUUGGAUGGUGAUGGUGUUGUUUACCUAAUUGCUGCGAAGGAGAAAUCAUAUGACCAAAAGUCAUGGAUCCUUGCUCUUGACAUGAAUACCAAGACGCUGCAAAGUGUUGUUCCGUUUGGCACCGUAGAAGACCCAAGUGAUCCUGUCGUGUAUUGCACUAGCAGGCCUGCCUCCAAUACUUGA